RNAcentral lists this ribosomal RNA (496 nucleotides) under uncultured bacterium. RNAcentral's name for it is "partial 16S ribosomal RNA". It matches the Rfam family "Bacterial small subunit ribosomal RNA", at positions 30 to 523 of the family's 1533-position model. The record is from RNAcentral.
AUUGAACGCUAGCGGGAUGCCUUACACAUGCAAGUCGAACGGCAGCGCGGACUUCGGUCUGGCGGCGAGUGGCGAACGGGUGAGUAAUGUAUCGGAACGUGCCCAGUAGCGGGGGAUAACUACUCGAAAGAGUAGCUAAUACCGCAUACGCCCUACGGGGGAAAGGGGGGGAUCGCAAGACCUCUCACUAUUGGAGCGGCCGAUAUCGGGUUAGCUAGUUGGUGAGGUAAAGGCUCACCAAGGCGACGAUCCGUAGCUGGUUUGAGAGGACGACCAGCCACACUGGGACUGAGACACGGCCCAGACUCCUACGGGAGGCAGCAGUGGGGAAUUUUGGACAAUGGGCGCAAGCCUGAUCCAGCCAUUCCGCGUGCAGGAUGAAGGCCUUCGGGUUGUAAACUGCUUUUGUACGGAACGAAACGGCUCUAACACAGUCCGGGAAUGACGGUACCUGAAGAAUAAGCACCGGCUAACUACGUGCCAGCCGCCGCGGUAA